CACGUAGGGCGCAAGCGUUGUCCGGAAUUAUUGGGCGUAAAGAGCUCGUAGGCGGUCUGUUGCGUCCGCUGUGAAAACUCGGGGCUUAACCCCGAGCCUGCAGUGGAUACGGGCAGACUAGAGGUAGGUAGGGGAGAGUGGAAUUCCCGGUGUAGCGGUGAAAUGCGCAGAUAUCGGGAAGAACACCCGUGGCGAAGGCGGCUCUCUGGGACGGUACUGACGCUGAGACGCGAAAGCGUGGGGAGCGAACAGG
Molecule: ribosomal RNA, 253 nt
Filed under: uncultured bacterium
Lineage: Bacteria
Description: partial 16S ribosomal RNA
Rfam family: Bacterial small subunit ribosomal RNA
Source: RNAcentral